Molecule: transfer RNA, 72 nt
Organism: Camelus ferus (Wild Bactrian camel)
Lineage: Eukaryota; Metazoa; Chordata; Mammalia; Artiodactyla; Camelidae
Rfam family: tRNA
About the family: Transfer RNA (tRNA) molecules are approximately 80 nucleotides in length. Their secondary structure includes four short double-helical elements and three loops (D, anti-codon, and T loops). Further hydrogen bonds mediate the characteristic L-shaped molecular structure. tRNAs have two regions of fundamental functional importance: the anti-codon, which is responsible for specific mRNA codon recognition, and the 3' end, to which the tRNAs corresponding amino acid is attached (by aminoacyl-tRNA synthetases). tRNAs cope with the degeneracy of the genetic code in two manners: having more than one tRNA (with a specific anti-codon) for a particular amino acid; and 'wobble' base-pairing, i.e. permitting non-standard base-pairing at the 3rd anti-codon position.
Source: Rfam
GAGGUUAUGGCUCAGUGGUAGAGCUCAUUCUUAGCAUGCAGGAGGUCCUGAGUUCAAUCCUCAGUACCUCCA